GUGCUCGCUUUGGCAGCAUAUACACUAAAAUUGGAAUGAUACAGAGAAAAUUAGCAUGGUCUCUGUGCAAGGAUGACAUGCAAAUUCAUGAAUAAUCUUAUU
This is a small nuclear RNA of Camelus dromedarius (Arabian camel), 102 nucleotides long. NCBI's taxonomy places the organism in Eukaryota, Metazoa, Chordata, Mammalia, Artiodactyla, Camelidae. The record is from Ensembl.